ACAAUAUAUGGUAUAUUCCUGCCCAGUGACUCUAGUUCAACGGCCGCGGUAUCUUAACCGUGCAAAGGUAGCAUAAUCAUUUGCCUAUUAAUUGUAGGCUAGUAUGAAUGGAUAAACGAAAUAAAAACUGUCUCAAUUAAUAACCUAAAAACUAUUUUUCACAUGAAGAAAUGUGAAUAAAUUCGAAGGACAAGAAGACCCUAUAGAGCUUUAUUUAAACAUAUUUUAAAAAUAUAUAAAAUUUGAUUGGGGCGAUCCUGGAACUAUAAAACACCCAUAAAUAAAUAGAUUCUUAAAUCAAUUAUAUGACCCUAAAAAGAUCAUAAAACUAAGCUACCUUAGGGAUAACAGGCUAAUCCCAUUAAAGAGUUCAUAUCUAUAAUGGGGCUUGGCACCUCGAUGUUGGCUUAGGGUAUCAAUAUAGCGCAAAAGUUAUAUAAUGAUGGUUUGUUCAACCAAUAACC
This 464-nucleotide ribosomal RNA is filed under the name Terrisswalkerius sp. Windsor Tableland. Its description in RNAcentral is "partial 16S ribosomal RNA". It matches the Rfam family "Bacterial large subunit ribosomal RNA", at positions 1840 to 2595 of the family's 2925-position model. The record is from RNAcentral. Lineage: Eukaryota; Metazoa; Annelida; Clitellata; Crassiclitellata; Megascolecidae.